GGGUGCAGGAGUAAUCUAGCAGUGAUAUGUCACCCCACUGAUUGCCAGCGUUGAUUUGGCUGAUCUGGCUACUAGACCGGUGUCCCCUCCCUCCCCCUUCCAUGUGCAUCCCUCCUGUGCUGUACACUCAAAAAGGAUGACCUUCCCAGAUACUAUUCUUCCAUUAAGGGUAUAGGAGAAGCUGCGCACCACUUAGAACCUCCAAAAGAGCUUUUGAGUUCAAUUUGUAGGAGAAUGUAGGGUCAUCAAGAUUCCAGAACUCCAGACACAUCCAAUGAAGCACUGCAUGUGGCAGUCUGCCUUUU
Molecule: small nuclear RNA, 305 nt
Filed under: Mustela putorius furo (domestic ferret)
Lineage: Eukaryota; Metazoa; Chordata; Mammalia; Carnivora; Mustelidae
Description: 7SK RNA (ENSMPUG00000021764.1)
Rfam family: 7SK RNA
About the family: 7SK was discovered as an abundant small nuclear RNA in the mid-70s but a possible function has only recently been suggested. Two independent studies have found that 7SK RNA binds the CDK9/cyclin T complex (known as elongation factor P-TEFb).
Source: Rfam by way of RNAcentral